RNAcentral lists this long non-coding RNA (1103 nucleotides) under Sus scrofa (pig). RNAcentral's name for it is "lncRNA (ENSSSCG00070001807.1)". The record is from RNAcentral. Lineage: Eukaryota; Metazoa; Chordata; Mammalia; Artiodactyla; Suidae.
AUGAUGGUGAGAGGACUUCUUGGAAGAGGGAACGAGGAGAGCAAAGAUACAGAGCUCUUUUCUGGACAUCCACCCAUCCCUCCUAAAACUGCAGAAAGUGUUUUGGGACGCAAAAUCUGCCCAGAGCCUGUCUGGAAAAGGAGAGGAUCACUAAACCAGUGGCUAUGGCUGACGGAAUUUUAUGGUAUUUUGUCUUACCAUAAAACUUAAACUUGGAGUUCCUAUUGUGGUGCAGCAGACACAAAUCCCACUAGGAACCAUGAGGUUGUGGGUUUGAUCCCUGGCCUCGAUCAGUGGGUUAAGGAUCCUGAGUUGCUGUGGCUGUGGGCAGGCUGGCAGCUGUAACUCCGAUUUGACUCCUAGCCUGGGAACGUCCAUAUCUGGUGAGUGAGACCCUAAAAAGCGAAAAAACCAAAACCAAAAACAAAAAAAAAACUUCAACUUACUUGUUUAAGUCUUUAAUCCAUUUUGAGUUUAUUUUUGUGUAUGGCGUGAGGGUGUGUUCUAGUUUCAUUGAUUUACAUGCAUGUGUCCAAUUUUCCCAGCACCACUUUCUGAAGAGACUUUCUUUUUCCCAUUUUAUAUUCUUGUCUCCUUUGUGAAGAUUAAUUGACCAUAGGUGUCUGGGUUUAUUUCUGCAUUCUCUAUUCUUUUUCGGUCUUUUCUAGGGCCACACCCACAGCAUACAGAGGUUGCCAGGCUAGGGGUCUAAUCGGAUCUGUAGCUGCCAGCCUAUGUCACAGCCACAGCAACUCGGGAUCCAAGCAACAUCUGCAACCUAUACCACAGCUUGAGGCAACAUCGGAUCCUUAACCCACUAGAAAGGCCAGGGAUCAAACCCACAACCUCAUGGUUCCUAGUCGGAUUUGUUAACCACUGAGACACGACAGGAACUCCUGGGUUCUCUAUUCUGUUCCAUUGGUCUGUAUGUCUGUUUUGAUACCAGUACCAUACUGUCUUGAUUACUGUAGCUUUGUAAUAUCACCUGAAGUCUGGGAGAGUUAUGCCUCCUGCUUGGUUUUUGUUCCUCAAGAUCGCUAUGGCAAUUCUGGGUCUUUUAUGGUUCCAAUUAAAUUUUUGAAUUGUUUGUUAUAGUUCUGUGA